GGGGAAUGCCCACACCAUUGCUGUCCCAGUGGUUGUACAAUGGGGCAUCUAGCUGGCUACAAACUGUCCAGCUCUAUUUUAUUGCCUUAGAAGAACUUCAGAGGAAAGAAGCCACGUAAAAAUUAAAUAAGGUUGGAACAGAUUUUAAAGUUUUUAUUAUUUUAUAUCAUGCCAUGCCUUGCAUGGAAUGACCACAAAGCACUCUGCCUUCCUGGCCACAUAAUUUACUAACAGGGCUCAGUGGAGAAAGCUAGGACUCUCAGAUGCACUGUCUAGUCUCCUGGAAAGAGGGAAAGAAGGGGUGGCAGGACGGAGCAGCGAAAAAUACUUACUUGUCUCUUUUUUGACAAGUCAGUGGUUGCUUAUUCUAAGAAGGAUGAUUAUAUGACUUAAUACAAUUUCUGGUCAUUGUCAUUAUAAUAAAGGAAAAAGGCUUUCUUAGAAGUGCUUGAGCUAAUCAAUAAAUAUUUGAUCCACUUUUAAACAAGGUUUUUAUGGCCAAAAUAAGUUGAAAGAAAAGAUACUGACAAGCACUAUUUCCAUACCUUCGUCUCAAGUCAACCACAGAAAGAAUAAGUGCAAAACGAAAUGAAGGAUGUCCCCUUCACCCAGAGAAGAAGCAAGCCUGGAGUCCUUCUUCCCAGGGAGGGGCCCAGGCCCCAGCCCAGUCAGAUCUGUGGGGCCGCGUGGCAGUCCAGAGCCCUGUCCUGCUCUUCCUGGGAAGGGGCCUGCUUCCCGGUGUUGCAGUCUGUGUCCGGGAUGAAUAGCCCAUGGAGAUCCAGGUGCAUCUCUACAUCAAUAGAUGCACGGGCUAAUUCUGUAAAACUUUUGGCAUCCAGAAUAAGUAGAAAAGGCAGCUUUUGGGGAUCAGUAGAGACGAUGGCUGAUAAGAUAAUCCCUUUGGGGAAACAAAGAGAGACACUUUGUAAAAGUGCACACUUGAACUUCCUCUAGCUGGAGGGCUAAGUCUCUCAGCUAUGUCUCCCUGUCCUCUUUAAGUAUGGAAUCAAAAUAAAAGGAAAACAAAUUUGAGAUUCUGUGCGAGAAGGGAGAGGCCAGGGAACUAGGAAUCAGAAGACUUGGUUCCAGCCCUGCCAGGGCCAGUCCCUCUGCCUCUCCCAACCUUAGUCUAUUCAUCUGCAGAGUAGGGAUUAUCCUCCCUACCCCCACAGGGUUACUGAGAGAAUCUCUUGCAUGGCAAACAAUGAAAGCUUUUUGGAAAGUAUUGCAUAUGUUGGAGAAUGGUUAUUUGGCUAUUAUUUAGAAAGUCUGAUUAUAGAGAAUCGGUUUAGAUGCUGUAUUUAGGCUAAUAUAUGGCACUUAACUAAACUCAGACUGGCUGCACUCAAUGGCAUUUGGAUGAGCCCAACUCACUUUAUGCACAUGCAGCACGCUAGUAGCCUCAGCCCUCCCCUCUAUAAAAUGGAUGUGUGUGUGUGUGUGCACGCGCGUGUAUAUGUAUUCUAAGGACUCACUCUCCAGGGAUAUAGGAUUAAAUGAAAUAAAUGCCCAUAAACUUCCUCCCAAGUCCUCCUGGGUCUCAGGGUGAUUGGCUUAGAUUAAAAUCCUAACUCUGUAGGCACGGUGUGUGUGGCCUUGUAAGUGACAUCAUUCCCUCAGCCUCUCCUUUGGUGAAGACAUUGCUACUCCCUGCCCACAAGAGAAUGUAGGGGAAGCCCUGGUCCAGCCCAGUGGGAGGCCAGCUUCAGCAGGAGGUGCUUCCCCCCCAUCCCCUACCUCUGAGGUGACAGUAAUGUGGGGUCCCCCGCUUGGUGUGCCAUACCAUGCCACACGUGGCCAGUAGGUAGACAGGACCCAGGCAGAAAACCACUCCUCACCGAGGGAAGCAGCUAGCAAGCUCAGUGGGGCAGCCCCACCCAUGGUUCUAGUUGCCCUCCUUAGCAUCCCCAGGAGUAUAUGCAUUUACAGGUGCUCCAUGUAGAAGACACAUGCUUAGAGAUAGUUAAGAAUUCUCUCCCAGCCAUUGCAAUGAAUUUUUUUUUUCAUUGCAAUGAAUUUUAAAGUGGAAAGGAACUGGGCUUUUGUGUAGUGAAUAAUUUAAUGUCUCCCAAAGGGAGGUCUGAGCUUUGCUCCUGGGAAGUGACCUCUAAGCCCCUGUACUGUCCUCCCUCAUAAGAGUGUCUUUAUUUACCUGGGGCCAGCCUGAUAAUCUGUCCUCACAAAGUGAUUUAGAUGUCAGCUUGACCUCCAGAGUGGCUGAAGGCUGAAGGUCAGCCACAUGGCCAACCAACCAUGUCUACAUGACCAAGCCCCUAAAAAGCUCUGCCUUUCUGGCUUGGAGGAACUUCCUUGGUUGGUGAUACCGCAUGGAUAUUGUUGAAGGAGUUGGGGUGGGCCAUGACCUCCAGGGACAACCAGAUACUCCAUGCACACAAUUCUCCUGGAUUCUGUCCCAUGAGCAUCUUUUCUUUCAAUCUGCAUCCUUUCACUCGAUAAACCGUAACCAUGAGUAACAGUAGUUUUUAGUGUGUUCUGUGCAUCCCUCUGUCGAAACCCAGGGUGGUCUUGGGGCUGCUCAACUUGUAGUUGGUGUCAGAAGUGAGGGUGCUUCGAGGGACUCCUUAACCUCACAGCUUUGGACUCGGACAGACCUGGGUUUCAAAGCCUGGUUCCACCAGCUAUGUGCUGUGGGGGUCGUGGAGGGAGGUCACUGCCCUCCAAAUGAUGUCUCUGUUUGAGGGGUGAUUGCAAGUAGAGCGCAGCAGGCAGGCUCCCUUUCCUGGAGUCUUACCAUCAUCCUCGUCCUUGGCACCCGGUGUGGGUACAAACAGGGGUUCUGCUGGCCAGCAGUGUUCCUGUCCCCAUUUUAAGGAUGACUUUGUGAGAACAUCAUAUUUCAGUAUCUAUACAUCCAAAGAGGAGAGACACAUGAGUGACCUGUUGGGAAGCAGGCUCAUUCCCUGGGAACAGAUGACAUCAAUGCCCACAAACAGGAUUAAGCCCCUCCAGUGUAGACUCCAAGUGACAUCUACUUAGGAUCAGCGGCAGAAAUGAAAGCAGCUAGCUUCUUCCUCCUCCAUCUUUAAGCAAAGGUCCUCCUGCCCAUCCCCCCCCCACAUAACUGACACUACAUACUGGAGUUUUAAAAAUAAAAAUCCUGAAUUUAUCUAGUAAUUGGAGCUACGUUGCAAUUUUUAUAUGUGUUAAAUAAACUAAUGUAUUUGAUGCAAACAUUUAAAGUGUAAUACUAUCCUUUUGUUGUUUUAAAAGUGCAAGUCCCUGGAUUUCUCUUAAUCCUUAAUAGACCUGUUUCCCCUUAGGAUGUGAGAUUAGUGGGGAGUGGCUUGGGUGUGUGUGUGUGUGUGCCUGUAUUUAUGUGUGUGUGUGAACCUUAAUUUUUUGCUUUGUACAUUUCUGCACUGCUUGCAUUUUUGAGAAAAGAUAUUCCAUUUAUUAUUAAAAAUGAAAACAUUAAAGACAAGUGAUGUCUGUAUACUCAGGAUAGUCCCUGGGAUACAGUAAGUGUCCAACAAAUAGUAACAAGUAACAAAAUAAAUGCUUCAAGUUUCAGCCCUCUGCUUGAAAGGGUGAGUUCCUUCAGGGCAGGGACUGGGAUCACUCUGUUCACUUCCUAGCCUCACUGCUGCCAUGUUGUAGCACAUGGUCGGUGCUCAAUAAAAUGUAUUGAAUAAAGAAAUCAAUGGAUAAACUACAGCUGUGACUUCUUUGCUGAGCUUCCGUCCAUCAGGUAUGGCUGCCUCUCUUGGAUGACUCAUCAUUGCUUCCAUUGUAUACUGUCCCAACUGGACUUCACUCUCUGAUAUGCUCCAAAGGGACCUCCCUUUUCUGAUCAAGGUCACCCAGUCUGAGAACCUAGGGUUCAGCUUUGCAGGCAGACACAGUCAUUGUAGGGAGCACCAGCCCAAGUCACAUAGGGAUUGGUACCUUGGUUGGGAUGGGACUCCACUGAACUUCAGCAGCAAAGAUAUAGCGGUAUCGCUUCCCAUUGUGAGCAUAAUUGAUCCGAGGCAGCUCUAAACCUGGAGAGAAUGACACCGCUGAUGAAGCCCCCGUCACUGAGGACUGGGAGCAUCCACCCUUCAUGCUAUGUUGGGCAUCCUGUCCACAAAAACUGCUCCCAAUCCAGGAUCCCUGAACUGGCUUCAGGCCCUGGAUUAGAUCAAGCACUGCCCAGGACUGCCACAAUAAGCAAGAAGUCUCUCCUCAGAUACAAAAAAGACCAUAAUGUUUUAAGCUUCCAUCUACCCACACAAUGUGCCAGCCAUGCAGGAAGCCCAGUUCACUCCCCGGAUGUACGCAGUUGACAUUUUGAGGAUAUCCAGCUUGAAAGGCUGCUCGAGGAAAAUGACGUAGUUCUCCGUGACUCCGAAGCUGUGAGAAAGGCAAGCCUCAGGAGCAGCACAGGACCUGGCUGUCCGCAGACAACGCCACCAUCACCUGCAGCUGAGCCUUUCAAACUGACCUGGCCACUAAGAAGAACCUUUGGAUGAGAGCUGACAACUAAACCAAUGAAGGGCUUGCUGCCUGGCUCACAUAGGGGCUCUGAGUGCUUCCCACCUAAGCCCUCCUGCUCUGUGAGACCUGGUGCUACGAUCUGAAAACACUGAGCCACAGAGCCAGGCCUCUGGGCUAGGGGUCUGUACCACAGCCUAGGGGCUGAAGCCAGCCUCCCCCUGCUUUUGCAUCAGGGUUUCUUUGGAAACAUAGCCAUACUCCUUCCUUUAUGCAGAGUCCAUGGCCACACUUGCUCUCAGGCUGCAGUGGCAUUGCUGAGUAGUUGCAACAGAGACCGCGUGUCUGCAAAGCCUCAGAUAUUUAUUCUUGGGCCCCUACAGAUAAAGCUUGUUAGCCCCUGUUCUGGAACAACACCUCUUUAUGGACACAAAUCAUUGGGGAUCAUGAUCAAAGUGUGAAGUUUGAUUCAGUAUGUGGGGCUAGGGCCUGAGGUCUUUCAUUUCUAUCAAGCACCCACAGGAUGGGCUGGCUUCACAGGCUUCGACUUUAAUAUUUUGCUGAGGACCACCAUUUAAGAUGUAUCUCAUAGGGUUUCCAUGAAUUUCUCUUCACUCUGACCAUUGUGAAACACCUGGGAGUGAGACUAAGUACCCAGUGUGAUAAGGGGCUAUUGUACAUCUUGUGACAAUCGAAGUAGACUGUAUGAUCCCCAUUUUACAGAUGGGAAACUGAGGCAUAAUGGAAUGGUCUAUCAUUAUGGCCAAAGGCAAAAGGUUAAGCCAAGAAGACAUGGCCCCCUUAGCCUGGCUACCUCCUCUGUUAUUAGGGAUAAUGACACAGAGUGGAGAGAGAACAGAAUGAAAUCAUGAAGUAGUCCAAGUAGCUCACCCAAGCAUCCAGACAGCAAAGGUGCUCGGUACAUGUUCGUGUUCUUAUUCCUCUGUAAGGAUGAGUCACUACGGGCCAAAAGGCCUCCCCACCCAGGCCUGGGGCUGGUUUAUAAUGAGUUAUCUGCAAGCGUCCCCACCUUUCUUGUGGCCACCUGUGCACACUGUAAACAGCUGGCUGGUGGGAGGGAUGCUGUGGGGCUUGGGGGUGGUUCUUUUAUUCACAAAACAAAUGGAGCACAAAGCAAACUGAAAUGAAAAGCACCCUGGCCUAGGAGGCAAGACACAGGCGUGAAUCCCAGGGAAGCCACUAGCAGAGAGCAGGUGCUCAGUGGGGAGCCGGUGGCAUGAUGUUGGUGGCUCCUGUGACCAGCAUGACCGUGAGCAUGUCACUUGAUCCCCUUGGGCCUCAUCAUCAUCCUUUUGUAAUAUGAGGUGACAAACUCAAAUGCCUAGACCAUCCCCAGGGCUGACAUUCUAGGAUCCUGGCUAGACCCUCUAUUCCUCCAUUAGCUUAAGUCAUGGGAUUCCAUUUAACAAGAAUACUCAUUGUGCCUUCUGACCUUACGGGCUCACCUCAGCCAACAGAGUCUAGUAAUUAGCUCAGGAGGUUCUCCAGGACAUGAGGGAAGGGGCCAGCAGGGUUCACAGAAGGAAGCCAAUUUCCCUAAACUGGCAGGUCAAGCCAAGCACCCUCAUAGUUCUUCCCUGUCUCCUAAGCCCUGUGCAACCACCCUCAGAGGCCUGGUCUCCUGGGCGUGCUUCCCAGGAGGGUCCUGGACAAAUAAGGGUCAGGAGCCUCCUCUUCUCAGGAAUAUGCAAUCACAACUGGCCUGGGAUUUUCUCCAGUUUCCUGGCCUUAAAAGGAGAAGGUACAGAAGGUCCUUAGAACAGAGUGGGGGGGGGGGGGGGCGGGGGGAGUGGUGUCUGAAAGGCUGAAGGUCUGAAGCAGGGCUGAGCUCCCAUAUCGACACUAGGAACCUGGGUUCAGGGGCUGGGAUGAAAGUGGGCAGCACAAAAAACAAAACAAAACAAAACAAAACAAACAAACAAACAAAAAAAAACAGAUGGAACGAUGAAUGGAAGGAAGGAUGGAUGGAAGGAAAGAUAUUUGAUAGGCAAGUGGAUGGAUGGGUGGACAAACUGAUGGUUGGACGGAUGAUGAAUGGAUAGGUGGAUGGAUGAUGGAUAGUUAGAUGGAUGAUGGGUGGAUAAACAGACGGAUGGACAGGUAGAUGGUGGAUGAAUAAUGGAUAAAUUAAUGAAUGAAUGAACUAGAGCCUAAAGAAAAUCAGGUUAGGAUAGUAAAAGAAUUCAUUCUUCAAAAGGAAGCCCAGCAACAUCUCUUUCCUCCUAAAGGAAAAAAGUAUGUUCAUGGUCAUUCUGAAUCACCCAUGAGGGAAAGUCUCAGAUUGUGUCUUACGUCAUCAAUAAAAAUCAGAAAUCUUUGGAGGGAGCCAC
Long non-coding RNA from Canis lupus familiaris (dog), 6785 nucleotides. RefSeq lists it as uncharacterized. The record is from RefSeq and is a predicted model, not a curated record. The transcript is spliced from 4 exons. NCBI's taxonomy places the organism in Eukaryota, Metazoa, Chordata, Mammalia, Carnivora, Canidae.